GCGCAAUCCUGACGGAGCAACGCCGCGUGAGGGAGGAAGGCCUGUGGGUUGUAAACCUCUUUUCUCUGGGAAGAAGAUCUGACGGUACCUGAGGAAUCAGCAUCGGCUAACUCCGUGCCAGCAGCCGCGGUAAUACGGAGGAUGCAAGCGUUAUCCGGAAUUAUUGGGCGUAAAGCGUCCGCAGGCGGCUUAUCAAGUCUGCUGUUAAAGGCCGCAGCUCAACUGCGGAUCGGCAGUGGAAACUGAUGAGCUAGAGWGCGGUAGGGGUAGAGGGAAUUCCCAGUGUAGCGGUGAAAUGCGUAGAUAUUGGGAAGAACACCAGUGGCGAAGGCGCUCUACUGGGCCGUAACUGACGCUGAGGGACGAAAGCUAGGGGAGCGAAAGGGAUUAGAUACCCC
This 398-nucleotide ribosomal RNA is filed under the name uncultured cyanobacterium. RNAcentral describes it as "bacterial SSU rRNA". It matches the Rfam family "Bacterial small subunit ribosomal RNA", at positions 375 to 788 of the family's 1533-position model. The record is from RNAcentral. Lineage: Bacteria; Bacillati; Cyanobacteriota.